This 292-nucleotide ribosomal RNA is filed under the name uncultured bacterium. RNAcentral describes it as "partial 16S ribosomal RNA". It matches the Rfam family "Bacterial small subunit ribosomal RNA", at positions 505 to 796 of the family's 1533-position model. The record is from RNAcentral.
GUGCCAGCCGCCGCGGUAAGACGGAGGGUGCUAGCGUUGUUCGGAAUCACUGGGCGUAAAGGGCGCGUAGGCGGCUCAUGGUGUCGGAUGUGAAAGCCCGGGGCUCAACCCCGGAGGUGCAUCCGAAACUCAUGGGCUGGAGGUCGGAAGAGGAGGGUGGAAUACCCAGUGUAGAGGUGAAAUUCGUAGAUAUUGGGUGGAACACCGGUGGCGAAAGCGGCUCUCUGGUCCGAACCUGACGCUGAGGCGCGAAAGCGUGGGGAGCAAACAGGAUUAGAUACCCCGGUAGUCC